This 798-nucleotide long non-coding RNA is filed under the name Homo sapiens (human). RNAcentral describes it as "PREDICTED lncRNA (TCONS_00087735)". Lineage: Eukaryota; Metazoa; Chordata; Mammalia; Primates; Hominidae. The record is from RNAcentral.
AGAGACAGGAUUCUCCAUGAGGUCCUGAACUCUUGGGCUCAAGCAAUCCACCUGCCUCAGCUUCCCAAAGUGCUGAAAUUACAGGUUCCAACACCACAAGCAUACGCUUAUUAAGGAGCCUUUAUUAGACAGCGUAUUCUCACCUAACAGGCCAGAUCAUGGCAAAAAGCAAGACAAGCAACCCCAGACAAAGAAUAUUGCCAAUGCCAGUGCUGACUCAAAGAACACGCAACAGAUGAAUGGUUUCGUGACUGGUGCAGCUACUUCCUUCAUCCCCAAGGACAGAACGGCCUCUUCCCUGUGUGGCUGCACUGGAAGGAGAAGACAAUCUGUUGCUAAAUACCUCAGAAUAAGGCCACACAUUAAUGUUCCCUCUUUCACAUACUACAAAUAAUUCAGAGACUUUUCCUAUUUUCUUGUUUCAGAUACAACUAGAGACAAACAAAAACACAGAGGAAAUGCUGCUGGAUACUAUUAAAGUGAGCAUCGUAAACAUUAUUUCAAGAGGUUUCCGAAAAGGAUCUCUAAAAUUAUCAGAGAAUUCACAAUUCAAGAGUACCUAACGAAGAAGAAGGGAAAUUAAUCCUUCAUAUGGCUCAAGUGGCUGCUUGACACCUUAUUAAGAAAACGAUGGAACAGACAUGUCAUCAGUGGGUCAGCACACCUGUGACAGGCAAUACAAGCCAUCACCUUAUCUGCCCUAGAUUUGUGGAAGAACCUCCAGCUCUCAUUAUCCUCUCACUCCACUGGAAAAAAACACACAACUCCCCAAAAUCCCCAAACAAAACAAAACCCCAG